UACAGAGGUCUCAAGCGUUGUUCGGAUUCAUUGGGCGUAAAGGGUGCGUAGGUGGCGCGCUAAGUCAGGUGUGAAAUUUCGGAGCUUAACUCCGAAACUGCAUUUGAUACUGGCGUGCUUGAGGACUGGAGAGGAGACUGGAAUUUACGGUGUAGCGGUGAAAUGCGUAGAUAUCGUGAGGAAGACCAGUGGCGAAGGCGGAUCUCUGGACAGCUCCUGACGCUGAGGCGCGAAGGCUAGGGGAGCAAACGGG
This 253-nucleotide ribosomal RNA is filed under the name uncultured bacterium. Its description in RNAcentral is "partial 16S ribosomal RNA". It matches the Rfam family "Bacterial small subunit ribosomal RNA", at positions 524 to 776 of the family's 1533-position model. The record is from RNAcentral.